This 85-nucleotide transfer RNA is filed under the name Candidatus Campbelliibacteriota bacterium. RNAcentral describes it as "Candidatus Campbellbacteria bacterium tRNA-Leu". It matches the Rfam family "tRNA". Rfam says of the family: Transfer RNA (tRNA) molecules are approximately 80 nucleotides in length. Their secondary structure includes four short double-helical elements and three loops (D, anti-codon, and T loops). Lineage: Bacteria; Candidatus Campbelliibacteriota. The record is from RNAcentral.
GCCUUGGUGGUGAAAUUGGUAGACACGCACGACUCAAAAUCGUGUGGAGCAAUCCAUGCGGGUUCGACUCCCGCCCGAGGCACAA